Molecule: unclassified non-coding RNA, 195 nt
Filed under: uncultured fungus
Lineage: Eukaryota; Fungi
Description: sequence contains ITS1, 5.8S rRNA gene
Source: RNAcentral
ACGUAUCUACGACGGGGCGGGCGUCCCGCUCCGGCUCCGAAAGGGCCGUGCAGCGGGCGCCUCCCCGCUCGACCUUCACAAACCCCACCGUGAACCUUUGCGGGCGGAAGUGGGCGAGAGCCCUCGGAAGCCCGCGCAUUUAAAACCCCAGUAAUUCGAAACGACGAGCGACCUCCGAGUCGCCCUAACACGAAA